AUUGAACGCUGGCGGCAGGCCUAACACAUGCAAGUCGAACGAGUGGCGGACGGGUGAGUAAUGUCUGGGAAACUGCCUGAUGGAGGGGGAUAACUACUGGAAACGGUAGCUAAUACCGCAUACCAUCAGAUGUGCCCAGAUGGGAUGAGCUAGUAGGUGGGGUAAAGGCUCACCUAGGCGAAGAUCCCUAGCUGGUCUGAGAGGAUGACCAGCCACACUGGAACUGAGGAACGGUCCAGACUCCUACGGGAGGCAGCAGUGGGGAAUAUUGCACAAUGGGCGAAAGCCUGAUGCAGCCAUGCCGCGUGUAUGAAGAGGGACUUCGGGUUGUAAAGAACUUUCGGCGGGGAGGCGUUACCCGCAGAAGAAGCACCGGCUAACUCCGUGCCAGCAGCCGCGGUAAUAC
This 406-nucleotide ribosomal RNA is filed under the name uncultured bacterium. RNAcentral describes it as "partial 16S ribosomal RNA". It matches the Rfam family "Bacterial small subunit ribosomal RNA", at positions 30 to 526 of the family's 1533-position model. The record is from RNAcentral.